CAGUAGCCGCGGUAAUACGAAGGGUGCAAGCGUUACUCGGAAUUACCGGGCGUAAAGCGCGUGUAGGUGGUUGUUUAAGUCUGUCGUGAAAGCCCUGGGUUCAACCUGGGAAUUGCGAUGGAUACUGGGCGACUAGAGUGCGGUAGAGGAUAGUGGAAUUUCCGGUGUAGCAGUGAAAUGCGUAGAGAUCGGAAGGAACAUCUGUGGCGAAGGCGACUAUCUGGGCCAACACUGACACUGAGACACGAAAGCGUGGGGAGCAAACAGGAUUAGAUACCCCGGUAGUCCCUGUCUCUUAUAA
Molecule: ribosomal RNA, 301 nt
Filed under: uncultured bacterium
Lineage: Bacteria
Description: partial 16S ribosomal RNA
Rfam family: Bacterial small subunit ribosomal RNA
Source: RNAcentral